GGCCGGUUCCGCUCCGCGCCAGCGCACGCGUCACGGGGAGCGGCGUGACGUCAGCGGCGGGGCCGGCGGGCGCGCGCUCCGGCGGGAGAGGAGCCGCGGGCCGGGGCUGUCCCCGCAGGGCUUUCAACCGCGUGUAGCUGCUAAACCAGAAAAGAUGGAUACAUGAAGACCAUGCAUUUAUCAGAGAUCCUGCUAUUUUCCCAAAACCAGUAGAUAAAAGAAGAAAGAAUGUGUCUCUCUUUCCAUCUAACAUGAAAAAGAGGAACCUUUAUUGUCCUGGCCAUAGUCUUUUCCUUAAUACUGCUCACAGACUGGAGAUUUUCAUACAAAAUUGCCUGAAUUUGGACUCUAGUGACUGUCAUUGCGUAAUACCACACUGCAUCACUCAGAUUAUAAUUAUCUUAUACAAGUGGGUAACAUCUCUGCAGAGUGUGCAGUGUUUACAUAGCACAGUUUAUUUCUGUUCACUUCACUGAAUCAUUGUUGAAUUUGAGGAUGCAUUUCAUAAACAAUUAUUCUGCUCUAAUAGUAACAAGUAACACAUUUGCUUUACAGACACCUCAGCGAAACACUCCUGUCAACAUGAAUUGUCUGUCAUGUGCUUUAAAAUGUUUUGAAAAAAAAUAUGGCACGCCAUCUGGCUCCCAAGCACCCAUUAAAUCCAUUGGAAUAUGAGUGUUUAAAGAAG
Long non-coding RNA from Poecile atricapillus (Black-capped chickadee), 688 nucleotides. RefSeq lists it as uncharacterized. The record is from RefSeq and is a predicted model, not a curated record. The transcript is spliced from 3 exons. Lineage: Eukaryota; Metazoa; Chordata; Aves; Passeriformes; Paridae.